AUUGAACGCUGGCGGCAUGCCUUACACAUGCAAGUCGAACGGCAGCACGGGUGCUUGCACCUGGUGGCGAGUGGCGAACGGGUGAGUAAUACAUCUGAACAUGUCCUGUAGUGGGGGAUAGCCCGGCGAAAGCCGGAUUAAUACCGCAUACGAUCUACGGAUGAAAGCGGGGGACCUUCUGGCCUCGCGCUUUGGGGUUGGCCGAUGGCGGAUUAGCUAGUUGGUGGGGUAAAGGCCUACCAAGGCGACGAUCAGUAGCUGGUCUGAGAGGACGACCAGCCACACUGGGACUGAGACACGGCCCAGAUUCCUACGGGAGGCAGCAGUGGGGAAUUUUGGACAAUGGGCGAAAGCCUGAUCCAGCAAUGCCGCGUGUGUGAAGAAGGCCUUCGGGUUGUAAAGCACUUUUGUCCGGAAAGAAAUCCUUGGCCCUAAUACGGUCGGGGGAUGACGGUACCGGAAGAAUAAGCAACGGCUAACUACGUG
This 486-nucleotide ribosomal RNA is filed under the name uncultured bacterium. RNAcentral's name for it is "partial 16S ribosomal RNA". It matches the Rfam family "Bacterial small subunit ribosomal RNA", at positions 30 to 507 of the family's 1533-position model. The record is from RNAcentral.